This 467-nucleotide ribosomal RNA is filed under the name uncultured bacterium. RNAcentral's name for it is "partial 16S ribosomal RNA". It matches the Rfam family "Bacterial small subunit ribosomal RNA", at positions 29 to 507 of the family's 1533-position model. The record is from RNAcentral.
ACGAACGCUGGCGGCGUGCUUAACACAUGCCAGUCGCACGGAAAGGCCCUGCUUUUGUGGGGUGCUCGAGUGGCGAACGGGUGAGUAACACGUGAGUAACCUGCCCUUGACUUUGGGAUAACUUCAGGAAACUGGGGCUAAUACCUGAUAGGAGCUCCUGCUGCAUGGUGGGGGUUGGAAAGUUUCGGCGGUUGGGGAUGGACUCGCGGCUUAUCAGCUUGUUGGUGGGGUAGUGGCUUACCAAGGCUUUGACGGGUAGCCGGCCUGAGAGGGUGACCGGCCACAUUGGGACUGAGAUACGGCCCAGACUCCUACGGGAGGCAGCAGUGGGGAAUAUUGCACAAUGGGCGGAAGCCUGAUGCAGCAACGCCGCGUGCGGGAUGACGGCCUUCGGGUUGUAAACCGCUUUCGCCUGUGACGAAGCGUGAGUGACGGUAAUGGGUAAAGAAGCACCGGCUAACUACGUG